CUGAGAGCGGAGAGAGACAGAGAACGAGGGAGACAGUGGCGAGGAGGCAGCGCAUCACAUCAGGCGCCGUUUUGCAUCCAAAAAAUCUUGACGCGGGUCAAUCGCCACAUUGGCUGCUGCUGCCGCCACCGCCGAGCCGCUUCCUGGUCACUGCUCUUCACAGAGACCGCAGGAGACAGAGCAAGCUGGGACAAAUCACUGACAGACAAAGACUAAAGAAAAAAACAAAAGAAGAACCACAGCCACACAUACUGCCAGAGGCAACGAGCGGAGACCUGCGAAGCCAAGCCGCGUCCUCCUCCACCACGCCGGCAUCUGGACCAGUGGCUGAAUGCUCCUGGCGCCCCCCGUUUGAGAACCAGUGAGAAGAAAAAUCAUCAAAGAGAGACUGAGCUG
Molecule: long non-coding RNA, 396 nt
Organism: Amphiprion ocellaris (clown anemonefish)
Lineage: Eukaryota; Metazoa; Chordata; Actinopteri; Pomacentridae
Source: Ensembl